Molecule: ribosomal RNA, 238 nt
Filed under: Sclerodactyla briareus
Lineage: Eukaryota; Metazoa; Echinodermata; Holothuroidea; Dendrochirotida; Sclerodactylidae
Description: partial 18S ribosomal RNA
Rfam family: Eukaryotic small subunit ribosomal RNA
Source: RNAcentral
ACUUCAUAGAGGGACAAAUGGCUUCCAGCCAUACGAGAUAGAGCAAUAACAGGUCUGUGAUGCCCUUAGAUGUCCGGGGCGCACGCGCGCUACACUGGCGCAAGCAGCGGGUNCNCUUCCCUCGGCCGACAGGUCUGGGUGAUCCGCUGAGAUUCCGCCGUGCUGGGGACAGGGACUUGUAAUUGUGUCCCUUGAACGAGGAAUUCCNAGUAAACGCGAGUCAUCAGCUCGCAUUGAU